Non-coding RNA from Phrynosoma platyrhinos (Desert horned lizard), 72 nucleotides. Lineage: Eukaryota; Metazoa; Chordata; Lepidosauria; Squamata; Phrynosomatidae. The record is from the annotation of a GenBank genome assembly.
GCCAGUGUGGUGUAGUGGUUUGAACUUUGGACUACCACUCAGGAGACCAGGGCUCAAAUCCCCACUAAGCCA